AGGAAAUGGGGCAGCCAGGAGUGCUUGAGAACAGAUGGGGCCAGGCACCAUGGCCCACACUUGUAAUCCCAGCACUUUGGGAGGCCAAGGCAGGCAGAUCACUUGAGCCUCCCCAGGGAUAUGAGGCUCUGGAGUCAGAAGAUGCCACCACCCCAGAGGAUGUGAGCCCACCUGUGGAGGUCUUGAUCCCAACCACUAGGAUGGGGCAGCCCCACGGUGGGUGACUACAUGAACUCCCUGUGGUGAGGGGUGAGUAGCCCAUGGAAGCCUCCCCACUACCAUGCAACCCCAUCGCAUCUCCGCUGAACUCCGAGCAGAAAACGGCUGCCUGAUGGGAACUGUCAUUUAGGUUCCCAGGCUACUUUGGUGGAUCUGAGAAUAAAUCCCUCAAGACAAGGUCCUUGCUCUGCCCUUCUCCAGGGUGGAACCCAGAGUUACUGGCCCCUCCAUCCCACGGAGCUGCUUCUGCAACCCUCACUUCCUAAGCACAGAAAUCUGGAACCACUGGUUAAAAAGAAGUCUGAGAGCCAAAAUACACACAGCCAGCUGUGAGUUACUACCUGCCUUACCCAGGAAAAGGACAUGAGCUGCCCAAGCACACACCUCUUUGCCAUCUAUGCCAGCAUUUUUACCUUCAAGGCCGAUGUUCUCA
This 652-nucleotide non-coding RNA is filed under the name Pan troglodytes (chimpanzee). The record is from RNAcentral. Lineage: Eukaryota; Metazoa; Chordata; Mammalia; Primates; Hominidae.